RNAcentral lists this ribosomal RNA (429 nucleotides) under Actinomycetes bacterium. RNAcentral's name for it is "Actinobacteria bacterium partial 16S ribosomal RNA". It matches the Rfam family "Bacterial small subunit ribosomal RNA", at positions 355 to 776 of the family's 1533-position model. Lineage: Bacteria; Bacillati; Actinomycetota; Actinomycetes. The record is from RNAcentral.
UAGGGAAUCUUCCGCAAUGGGCGAAAGCCUGACGGAGCAACGCCGCGUGAGUGAUGAAGGUCUUCGGAUCGUAAAACUCUGUUAUUAGGGAAGAACAAAUGUGUAAGUAACUAUGCACGUCUUGACGGUACCUAAUCAGAAAGCCACGGCUAACUACGUGCCAGCAGCCGCGGUAAUACGCAGGUGGCAAGCGUUAUCCGGAAUUAUUGGGCGUAAAGCGCGCGUAGGCGGUUUUUUAAGUCUGAUGUGAAAGCCCACGGCUCAACCGUGGAGGGUAAUUGGAAACUGGAAAACUUGAGUGCAGAAGAGGAAAGUGGAAUUCCAUGUGUAGAGGGGAAAUGCGCAGAGAUAGGGAGGAACACCAGUGGCGAAGGCGACUUUCUGGUCUGUAAAUGACGCUGAUGUGCGAAAGCGUGGGGAUCAAACAGG